This is an RNA transcript of Armigeres subalbatus, 1757 nucleotides long. It is a transcript of the gene named lysoplasmalogenase TMEM86A, with no coding region annotated. The record is from RefSeq and is a predicted model, not a curated record. The transcript is spliced from 5 exons. NCBI's taxonomy places the organism in Eukaryota, Metazoa, Arthropoda, Insecta, Diptera, Culicidae.
CCAUCACCACCAGUCAGUGCUUUGUUACACGUUGCACUGCACGGUUCCAGUGAUUGCAGAGCUCCCGUUUGAUCCCACAAGCACGUCGCUUAAGUGCACUACAUAUAUCUACUGAACAACGUUAUCAAGUUUAUCAUGUGCUAGUUGACAAGAUAUAAUAGUGUACAGAUUCAAUCUCAUUUAUCAUUGCUGUGAAACAACAUCAUGCUGCUGAUACUUUCAAACUAACGGUAGUGGUGCGGAUCGUAGAGCGAUCGUUCUGAGCGAGAGAAAAACAAAUCUGAUCUAGAGUGACCGGCGAGGUGGAUCUAAUUGUCGUUCUCGCUGCGAAAAACUCGUGUACAAUUUACAAGCAAAAGUGCCAAAUUUCGCACAGUGUUCGUAAGUGCUGAUAAUCUAAAAAUAAAGAUCGGCAGCGGUACCUCAAAAUCGAACGGAACGUCAACAAAGGAUUUGUUGCAACUGACGCAUUUUGGGGGCUUAUCAAUCGACUCGGACCGCACUGCGAUUGAACUCCGUGGAGGGUCAUGGCACGCGCCGAUAUUGGCACGAUUGCAAAGGUCGCCGCACCUCGGAUGAUACUGUUCCUGAUCACAUUUAUCCUAUACUUUUCACUAAUUAGCCUAACCGAAAAAGGUACUGUCGUAUCCACUGUUUUGAAAUGUCUGCCAAUUGUGAGCCUGUGGAUCUUUGUACUGCUUACAGGUUUCGAAUUGAAGAAAAGCCACAAGUACAAACAUCUAAUCCUGGUUGGAUUAAUAUUCUCAUGUUCCGGAGACAUACUACUCAACUACGACCUCUUUGAGGCCGGAAUGGCCGGCUUCGGACUGGCUCAAGUUUUCUACAUAUCAGCCUUCGGAUUCCACCCUCUGCGACCAUGGUUUGCACUGCCUCUCUAUGGGAUCGGAGCCGCAGCAGUGGGCCUGAUGUUUAACAACUUGCCACUUAUCAUCAAAAUUUGUCUUCCAAUCUAUGGUGCCCUACUGUUGACUAUGUGCUGGCGGUCCCUGUCACGAAUCGACUCUGCUAAGAACAUCCUCCGUAUGGCUUGCGGACUAGGGAGCAUACUCUUCGUUAUAUCCGAUAGUAUUAUUGCGUUCGACAAGUUCUACACUCCAAUAAGUAACGCCCAGGUUGGCAUCAUGGUCACCUAUUACGUGGCCCAGUUUGGAAUCGCACUAAGUGUCAUCGAGCAGCCAGGCUCUGUGAAAACUGCCAAAUCUUCAUCGCCCAAGCGAAGCCAAAACGGUAUGAAGAAGAAGAAAUCUUCUAAGGAAAAAUAAGAAAGACAUCGAUAAAACAUCUAACAUCAUUCUUUAAACACGCAUUUGAAAGCAUUCCUUCAUAUGAACGAACACUUACAUAAUUCCAUAUGUAAAGUUUUUGACGUGAAGAUAUUCGAAAAUAAUAUGGAGCCAUGAUGAAAGAGAUUAGAAACCAUAGACUGUGAUCUAUUAUCUUCCCUCGAGCUUUGAGGAUCUACAAACCACCACCAACAAUAUCUGCUUGCGCGAAGAAUGUAUUUGGAGUACACCGAAUGGUAAAGUGGCUCGAUUAAGACUCGAAAAAUAUAACAAAAAUAUAGCCAUUACAGGCGAAAUACAAUGCAGUUUUCAAUUAUUAGAUGUUGAACCUAGUUCAAGUUAAUUCGUAUCAAUGACAAAAAAUGUAGACAAAAUGAGAGACUGUGUAAGUUAUUUUAGAUAUUAGAGGAAUUUACCAUCAAGAAAAAUAAAAUACAAUUCAACGUUCCUUAA